RNAcentral lists this ribosomal RNA (547 nucleotides) under uncultured bacterium. Its description in RNAcentral is "bacterial SSU rRNA". It matches the Rfam family "Bacterial small subunit ribosomal RNA", at positions 355 to 896 of the family's 1533-position model. The record is from RNAcentral.
UGGGGAAUAUUGCACAAUGGGCGCAAGCCUGAUGCAGCGACGCCGCGUGAGGGAUGAAGGCCUUCGGGUUGUAAACCUCUUUCGUCAGGGAACAAGGCAUUGCCUUUUUGGUGGUGUUGAGGGUACCUGGAUAAGAAGCGCCGGCUAACUACGUGCCAGCAGCCGCGGUAAUACGUAGGGCGCAAGCGUUGUCCGGAAUUAUUGGGCGUAAAGAGCUCGUAGGCGGCUGGUCGCGUCUGUCGUGAAAACUUCCGGCUCAACCGGGGGCUUGCGGUGGGUACGGGCCGGCUAGAGUGCGGUAGGGGUAACUGGAACUCCUGGUGUAGCGGUGGAAUGCGCAGAUAUCAGGAAGAACACCGAUGGCGAAGGCAGGUUACUGGGCCGUUACUGACGCUGAGGAGCGAAAGCGUGGGGAGCGAACAGGAUUAGAUACCCUGGUAGUCCACGCUGUAAACGUUGGGCACUAGGUGUGAGGCUCCUUUCCGGGGGUUUUGCGCCGUAGCUAACGCAUUAAGUGCCCCGCCUGGGGAGUACGGCCGCAAGGCUA